This 301-nucleotide ribosomal RNA is filed under the name uncultured bacterium. RNAcentral describes it as "partial 16S ribosomal RNA". It matches the Rfam family "Bacterial small subunit ribosomal RNA", at positions 509 to 807 of the family's 1533-position model. The record is from RNAcentral.
CAGCCGCCGCGGUAAUACGAAGGGUGCAAGCGUUAAUCGGAAUUACUGGGCGUAAAGCGUGCGUAGGCGGUGAGUUAAGUCUGCUGUGAAAUCCCCGGGCUCAACCUGGGAAUGGCAGUGGAUACUGGCUCGCUAGAGUGUGUCAGAGGAUGGUGGAAUUCCCGGUGUAGCGGUGAAAUGCGUAGAGAUCGGGAGGAACAUCAGUGGCGAAGGCGGCCAUCUGGGACAACACUGACGCUGAGGCACGGAAGCGUGGGGAGCAAACAGGAUUAGAGACCCCUGUAGUCCCUGUCUCUUAUAC